AUGGCUCUUCUGACGGCAGAGGUGACUUGGUUACGAUGGCUACUGGAGGAUUUUGGUGUUUCUGUUACUACACCUACCACUCUCUUGUGCGACAGUACAGGUGCUAUCAACAUUGCACGGGACCCCAUGAAGCAUGAGCUUACCAAGCAUAUUGGUGUUGAUGCUUCCUACGUGCGCGCUGCUGUGCAGGAUCAUGUUAUUGCUCUUCAGUAUGUACCUUCCGAGUUACAGCUAGCGGACUUCUUCACGAAGGCACAGACUAGAGCACACCAUAGAUUUCACCUCUCCAAACUCAGUGUUGUGGAUCCACCAUGA
Molecule: ribosomal RNA, 315 nt
Filed under: Triticum aestivum (bread wheat)
Lineage: Eukaryota; Viridiplantae; Streptophyta; Magnoliopsida; Poales; Poaceae
Description: partial small subunit ribosomal RNA
Source: RNAcentral